RNAcentral lists this long non-coding RNA (523 nucleotides) under Triticum aestivum (bread wheat). Its description in RNAcentral is "long non-coding RNA (TAES_LNC025038)". Lineage: Eukaryota; Viridiplantae; Streptophyta; Magnoliopsida; Poales; Poaceae. The record is from RNAcentral.
UAAAUAGAAGGAAACUCAAUUGGGAACCGACAUCAAGAUUUGAUUGUUCCAACAGGGAAUGACUGAACAUUUAUCCGGACAACAACAAAUCUGAUCUGUUGUUUAUAGUGUUCAAGUGCAGCGUCUGAUUUGGUGUGAUCGUCAGACAUAGCAACUGUGAGGAAAAAUGCAGAAAAGUUCAGGUAAUCCAACCCUAUGCUGUAAGGAACAGAUUGAGGAUUUAAUAACCAGCCAAUGCAGCAUCAAAUACGGUUACUGAUAAGUGGCAAGAAAACAGCAUGUAUAACAGUAUAUAUCGCAGCAGACAGAGGUGAUUAGCUUUCAAGGGGAUAAAUACCUUUGGUGUAGCCGCUGCAGGCGACACUGGACGGACCAAUGUUCUUGUUCCUCCGGCAAACUCUGUGGCGACAUUGGACGCUUCGUGCAAAUUUCGACGGAAUUUGAUGGAGAUUAUGGCCCAAGGACGCAAAUUGAUGGAGAUUCCGGCUGAGGACCCCUCCAUCUUAUAGCAGCCAAGUUAAAU